AGACCCGAAACCCGGUGAUCUAGCCAUGGGCAGGUUGAAGGUUGGGUAACACUAACUGGAGGACCGAACCGACUAAUGUUGAAAAAUUAGCGGAUGACCUGUGGCUGGGGGUGAAAGGCCAAUCAAACCGGGAGAUAGCUGGUUCUCCCCGAAAGCUAUUUAGGUAGCGCCUCGUGAAUUCAUCUCCGGGGGUAGAGCACUGUUUCGGCUAGGGGGCCAUCCCGGCUUACCAACCCGAUGCAAACUGCGAAUACCGGAGAAUGUUAUCACGGGAGACACACGGCGGGUGCUAACGUCCGUCGUGAAGAGGGAAACAACCCAGACCGCCAGCUAAGGUCCCAAAGUCAUGGUUAAGUGGGAAACGAUGUGGGAAGGCCCAGACAGCCAGGAUGUUGGCUUAGAAGCAGCCAUCAUUUAAAGAAAGCGUAAUAGCUCACUGGUCGAGUCGGCCUGCGCGGAAGAUGUAACGGGGCUAAACCAUGCACCGAAGCUGCGGCAGCGACACUCAGGUGUUGUUGGGUAGGGGAGCGUUCUGUAAGCCUGUGAAGGUGGCCUGUGAGGGUUGCUGGAGGUAUCAGAAGUGCGAAUGCUGACAUAAGUAACGAUAAAGCGGGUGAAAAGCCCGCUCGCCGGAAGACCAAGGGUUCCUGUCCAACGUUAAUCGGGGCAGGGUGAGUCGACCCCUAAGGCGAGGCCGAAAGGCGUAGUCGAUGGGAAACGGGUUAAUAUUCCCGUACUUGGUGUUACUGCGAAGGGGGGACGGAGAAGGCUAUGUUGGCCGGGCGACGGUUGUCCCGGUU
RNAcentral lists this ribosomal RNA (800 nucleotides) under Salmonella enterica subsp. enterica. Its description in RNAcentral is "partial 23S ribosomal RNA". It matches the Rfam family "Bacterial large subunit ribosomal RNA", at positions 711 to 1512 of the family's 2925-position model. The record is from RNAcentral. Lineage: Bacteria; Pseudomonadati; Pseudomonadota; Gammaproteobacteria; Enterobacterales; Enterobacteriaceae.